UAGGGAAUAUUGCAAAAUGGGCGAAAGCCCGAUGCAGCAACGCCGCGUGGGCGAUGAAGGCCUUCGGGUUGUAAAGCCCUUUUUGAGGGGAUGAGGAAGGACAGUACCCUCAGAAUAAGCCUCGGCUAACUACGUGCCAGCAGCCGCGGUAAAACGUAGGAGGCGAGCGUUAUCCGGAUUUACUGGGCGUAAAGCGCGUGCAGGCGGAUUGGAGAGUUGGAUGUGAAAGCUCCCGGCUUAACUGGGAGAGGUCGUUCAAUACUUCCAGUCUUGAGUGCAGUAGAGGGUAGUGGAAUUCCGGGGGUAGUGGUGAAAUGCGUAGAUAUCCGGAGGAACACCAGUGGCGAAAGCGGCUUCCUGGACUGUAACUGACGCUCAGACGCGAAAGCUAGGGUAGCAAACG
RNAcentral lists this ribosomal RNA (403 nucleotides) under uncultured bacterium. Its description in RNAcentral is "bacterial SSU rRNA". It matches the Rfam family "Bacterial small subunit ribosomal RNA", at positions 355 to 774 of the family's 1533-position model. The record is from RNAcentral.